RNAcentral lists this ribosomal RNA (465 nucleotides) under uncultured ammonia-oxidizing bacterium. Its description in RNAcentral is "bacterial SSU rRNA". It matches the Rfam family "Bacterial small subunit ribosomal RNA", at positions 198 to 644 of the family's 1533-position model. The record is from RNAcentral.
GGAGGAAAGUAGGGGAUCGCAAGACCUUGCGCUUUUGGAGCGGCCGAUGUCUGAUUAGCUAGUUGGUGAGGUAAAGGCUUACCAAGGCGUCGAUCAGUAGCUGGUCUGAGAGGACGACCAGCCACACUGGGACUGAGACACGGCCCAGACUCCUACGGGAGGCAGCAGUGGGGAAUUUUGGACAAUGGGGGAAACCCUGAUCCAGCCAUGCCGCGUGAGUGAAGAAGGCCUUCGGGUUGUAAAGCUCUUUCAGCCGGAACGAAACGGUCACGGUUAAUACCCGUGGCUACUGACGGUACCGGAAGAAGAAGCACCGGCUAACUACGUGCCAGCAGCCGCGGUAAUACGUAGGGUGCGAGCGUUAAUCGGAAUUACUGGGCGUAAAGCGUGCGCAGGCGGUUUUGUAAGUCAGAUGUGAAAUCCCCGGGCUUAACCUGGGAACUGCGUUUGAAACUACAAGGCUAG